AUGCAUUUGAAGUCCAGCGCAUCAGUUCUAAGAGGAGGAAGCGCUCUCCCUACUCUCCCUGAGGAAGGAGAGACGAUUCCGGAGCAAUUCCAGCUCCUCCUCCCCAUAGGUCAGUUCACGCAACAGAGUUUCGAAGCUGUUCGAGUUUGUGUUUCAACUGUUCUCUCCGCUUCCUCAGAAAGGAGAGGGAGAUCACCGUUAGUAAUGCCUGCUUAAACCUAGGCACUAUAUAGCAUUGGACCAAUGCUAUGCAAAUACCAAGUAUUGCCACGUCAUGAGGGGCUCUGAAGAAAACUUGGAACCAGAUCUAGACACCAUCUUCCUUUCUCCCCAGAAAGGCUGAGCAGAGUUAGGGCACAGGUGAGAAAAUUACCAUGUACCAGGAUGUGGCAUCCAUGCCAAUUCUUACCUAAGACUUAAUGAGGCUGCAGACACACCCAAAGCAAGGCAUAUUCCCAAGCACCUCCUGUUUUUAAAGGACUUUACUAAGAACCCUUCAGGUGCUGUGAGUGAUAGCUGCAGAUCUCUGGGUAUGACUUUAGCAACUCCCUUUUUUUACUGGAAGUGCAAUAAUUAAAAAUAGGCUUGCUGCUUUGCCAAACGUCCUGGUAGGGGUGAGGGUGGGGGGAAUCCAAAUUGGACAGGAUUGGCUUUGAAGUGUUCAAAACAGG
Molecule: long non-coding RNA, 671 nt
Filed under: Cricetulus griseus (Chinese hamster)
Lineage: Eukaryota; Metazoa; Chordata; Mammalia; Rodentia; Cricetidae
Description: lncRNA (ENSCGRG00000026284.1)
Source: RNAcentral